Molecule: ribosomal RNA, 497 nt
Filed under: uncultured bacterium
Lineage: Bacteria
Description: partial 16S ribosomal RNA
Rfam family: Bacterial small subunit ribosomal RNA
Source: RNAcentral
GAUGAACGCUGGCGGCGUGCCUAAUACAUGCAAGUCGAGCGAACAGACGAGGAGUUUGCUCCUCUGACGUUAGCGGCGGACGGGUGAGUAACACGUGGAUAACCUACCUAUAAGACUGGGAUAACUUCGGGAAACCGGAGCUAAUACCGGAUAAUAUAUUGAACCGCAUGGUUCAAUAGUGAAAGACGGUUUUGCUGUCACUUAUAGAUGGAUCCGCGCCGCAUUAGCUAGUUGGUAAGAUAACGGCUUACCAAGGCAACGAUGCGUAGCCGACCUGAGAGGGUGAUCGGCCACACUGGAACUGAGACACGGUCCAGACUCCUACGGGAGGCAGCAGUAGGGAAUCUUCCGCAAUGGGCGAAAGCCUGACGGAGCAACGCCGCGUGAGUGAUGAAGGUCUUCGGAUCGUAAAACUCUGUUAUUAGGGAAGAACAAAUGUGUAAGUAACUAUGCACGUCUUGACGGUACCUAAUCAGAAGGCCACGGCUAACUACGUG